This 311-nucleotide long non-coding RNA is filed under the name Phaseolus vulgaris (common bean). Its description in RNAcentral is "long non-coding RNA (PVUL_LNC003979)". The record is from RNAcentral. Lineage: Eukaryota; Viridiplantae; Streptophyta; Magnoliopsida; Fabales; Fabaceae.
CCGAUGAGCGAGUUCAAGCAAGAUAAAAUCCUUCUCGUCCCGAACGAGUUCAGGUACGGUGUAAAGGGUGGAAGAAGUUUGGGGGGUGGCUAAGGUAGGUUCGAAGAGAACGCCUAGCCACCCGGUCUCUUGUUCUGAGGCUCAAGGAGGUAGAGAAGGAUCCGAAAGGCGCCUCUACCCCCAGAUAAAGGAACAAUGGCCAAGUUGUGAAGGCAGGAAGAAGCUGAUAUCGCCAAGAGUCUUUGGCGACCAGGAAGAAUUCAAGCAAUGGCGAGAAAGUCAAGACCCGUUUCGAUAAGGCAGAUCAGAUG